GAUGAACGCUGGCGGCGUGCCUAAUACAUGCAAGUCGAGCGAACAGAUAAGGAGCUUGCUCCUUUGACGUUAGCGGCGGACGGGUGAGUAACACGUGGGUAACCUACCUAUAAGACUGGGAUAACUUCGGGAAACCGGAGCUAAUACCGGAUAACAUUUGGAACCGCAUGGUUCUAAAGUGAAAGAUGGUUUUGCUAUCACUUAUAGAUGGACCCGCGCCGUAUUAGCUAGUUGGUAAGGUAACGGCUGACCAAGGCGACGAUACGUAGCCGACCUGAGAGGGUGAUAGGCCACACUGGAACUGAGACACGGUCCAGACUCCUACGGGAGGCAGCAGUAGGGAAUCUUCCGCAAUGGGCGAAAGCCUGACGGAGCAACGCCGCGUGAGUGAUGAAGGGUUUCGGCUCGUAAAACUCUGUUAUUAGGGAAGAACAAACGUGUAAGUAACUGUGCACGUCUUGACGGUACCUAAUCAGAAAGCCACGGCUAACUACGUGCCAGCCGCCGCCGUAA
This 513-nucleotide ribosomal RNA is filed under the name uncultured bacterium. Its description in RNAcentral is "partial 16S ribosomal RNA". It matches the Rfam family "Bacterial small subunit ribosomal RNA", at positions 28 to 523 of the family's 1533-position model. The record is from RNAcentral.